Molecule: long non-coding RNA, 1403 nt
Filed under: Sus scrofa (pig)
Lineage: Eukaryota; Metazoa; Chordata; Mammalia; Artiodactyla; Suidae
Description: lncRNA (ENSSSCG00030028050.1)
Source: RNAcentral
CUUUCCCCAUGCUUGGAGAUCCCACGAACGCCAGGGAAGCCUCCGUCUGCAUUCAUCCCUGAGCAAAAUUGAAAGGCAAGACCAAGGAGCAGUGUUUCCAGGGGCGAGUUGGGAGGCAAAAAGAAAGAAGUACCUCUCGCGGGUUCCAACUUGCAGCGAGCAUCGCGGUCUUCGCAGCAGGUACGCAGAAGCAGGCUGGGGAGCAGAGGGCCGCUGGACCCCUUGCUUCGAAAAAUCCUUGCUGAAGUUAAAAAUCAAGAUGAACCAGACAAACUGCAGACCCAGUUAUUGCAGGAGCCAGUGUGGCCACAAGUUCCAGUCGCUCUUCUCUUGUUUUCUCCAUGCAUUCUUCUGUUCAUCUGUCUCCUUUCCCUGCCUGGCAGCCCUCUUGCUGCCUUUCCGACGAACUGUCAUUACCUCCUCUCUGACAAUGUCUAACUGACAUUGCCCUCCUCUCUGUUCCUGCUCCCCUCUUCCUCUCUUCUGUUUUCUCUCUCCCCCUACUCUCUCUGUCUCCGACCUUCCUCCACUUCUCCCUCCCUCUCCUCCCUUCCUGAACCCUGCAUCUCCACCCAUCUCCUUUUUUCUAUCUCAGUCCCCCCUCAUUCUCUAAUUCACCUUUCUUCUUUCCUCCUUCUCUCCAUCCCUUCAGUAUGGUUGCCGCUAUUAUAUGGCUGCAUCUCUUUAAAUCACGCUUAACCUACCAAUCACUGAUGGCACUCAAUGCGUCAAUAAGGGAAUUUGCUGAAAGUCUUUGCUUUAUUAUUAGUGGUUUAACUAGCACCCUUUGUAUGCCCCGAGAUAGGUUCAUCCCUUAAAAUUUCACAAAACUGAAGCAUCUGCACUCUCCUCUACUUAUAGAAAUGUAUCUCAUUCUCAGUGUGUAUACAUCACACUUCGUGAAAGCAGACAUUUCAUAAUCUUUGGCCACACUGAGGCUCCCAAGGCAGUACAGAAAUCCAGGUGUCCUCAAGUUAGGAAAUAUCAAUCUGGUCCACAGAUACUACCUUCAUGGUGGGCAAUGGUGUGAAAAUGCCUGUGUGAACUGACUGUUUUCUUUUUGGAAAGUCAGUUUAGGGGCCUCCUCUCUUCGGAAUUUGCCAGUGGAAAAGAAAAAGGAUGAUCCAGAGAUUUUAUUUUAUUUUUAAAAUUUUUAUUAGUGGGAGUUCCCGUCGUGGCGCAGUGGUUAACGAAUCUGACUAGGAACCAUGAGGUUUCGGGUUCGGUCCCUGCCCUUGCUCAGUGGGUUAACGAUCCGGCAUUGCUGUGAGCUGUGGUGUAGGUUGCAGAUGCGGCUCGGAUCCCGCAUUGCUGUGGCUCUGGCGUAGGCUGGUGGCUGCAGCUCCGAUUCGACCCCUAGCCUGGGAACCUCCAUAUGCUGCGGGAGUGGCCCAAGAAAUAGC